UAGUAGCGAAGUAGCUGAUUUCACACUGUCAAGAAAAGUCUCUAUCGAGGUUAAAGGUACCCGUACCGCAAACCGACACAGGUGGGUGAGGAGAGUAUCCUAAGGCCAGCGAGAGAACUGUUGUUAAGGAACUCGGCAAAAUGACCCCGUAACUUAGGGAUAAGGGGUGCCACCAUCAGGUGGCCGCAGAGAAUAGGCCCAAGCGACUGUUUACCAAAAACAUAGGUUUCUGCUAAGUCGCAAGACGAUGUAUAGGAGCUGACGCCUGCCCGGUGCUGGAAGGUUAAGGGGAUCUGUUAGAGCAAUCGAAGCAGUGAACUUAAGCCCCAGUAAACGGCGGCCGUAACUAUAACGGUCCUAAGGUAGCGAAAUUCCUUGUCGGGUAAGUUCCGACCCGCACGAAAGGCGUAACGAUUUGGGCACUGUCUCAACAACAGACUCGGUGAAAUUGUAAUUCCGGUGAAGAUGCCGGAUACCUGCGACAGGACGGAAAGACCCCAUGGAGCUUUACUGUAGCUUGACAUUGGGUCUUGGUACUACAUGUACAGGAUAGGUGGGAGGCUUUGAAACCAGGACGCCAGUUUUGGCGGAGCCAUCCUUGGGAUACCACCCUUGUA
RNAcentral lists this ribosomal RNA (617 nucleotides) under Clostridioides difficile. RNAcentral's name for it is "partial 23S ribosomal RNA". It matches the Rfam family "Bacterial large subunit ribosomal RNA", at positions 1580 to 2210 of the family's 2925-position model. The record is from RNAcentral. Lineage: Bacteria; Bacillati; Bacillota; Clostridia; Peptostreptococcales; Peptostreptococcaceae.